GGGGGUGACGAUAUUCCCAAAGCCGGGAUCUCAGAGCAGCAGUGGGGAGGCAACACGUGGCACAAGCCCGGAGCCGGGAGCUGUUCCCACUGCUGGAACACCGGGAUAUUUCCUGCCUGGGCCGGGUUUCCAGGAGGGCACGGAGACCGGCUCAAGGAUUUACACUGGAAAAACCGCCCUGGCUGGAUUCCUGCUGCUCCCGUCUGACCCCAAAGCUCCUCUGCAGGGAAUGAAAGCCGUUCCUUAAAAACAUUCCCUGUUUUUGGUGAUGCCGGUGGUGCGGGAUCCGUCCCUCCAUGGGAUAAAUUUGGAGGGGAGGAAUUGAGGGAUGGACGGUUCAGUGGAACUAAAGCUGUGCCAGGAGCCCAGAAAAGGCAGGGAGGGGUCAGCUGUGCCCGGUGCCAGCCGCAGAUCCUGCAAAAAGCAGGAAUUCCAGGGGCAGGGACACCGGGAGUGCUGCCCUUCCCGAGGGCAGGAGGGGUGGGGGGAUGUCUGGCACAAGGGCUUUUCCCGGGAUCUGCAGGAGGAGGGAAAAGCACCCAAAGAAGCUGAGAACAGCCCAGAUCCCUCCCCGGAGAUCUCCGGGCAUUGGGAAGCCCGGCCCGCCCCUCUCCUGAGCGGAACCAUCCCGGCUUUUCUUCAUCCUAAAGAAACAAAUCCUUGGGAGGAACCGAGUGGCUCCGCACAGCCCCGUCCCGGGAUCCCAGCCCCGUCCCGGGGAUCCCAGCCCCGUCCCGGGAUCCCAGCCCCGUCCCGGGAUCCCAGCUCAGCUCCCGGGGAUCCCAGCUCAGCUCCGGGGGAUCCCAGCUCCGUUCCCGGGGAUCCCAGCCCCGUCCCGGGAUCUCAGCCCCAUCCCGGGGAUCCCAGCUCAGCUCCGGGGGAUCCCAGCUCAGCUCCCGGGGGAUCCCAGCCCCGUCCCGGGGAUCCCAGCUCAGCUCCCGGGGGAUCCCAGCUCCGUUCCCGGGGGGAUCCCAGCUCCCCUCCCUCUCCCAUCCAGGCUGUUCCCAAAGCUCGGCAGGGAUGA
Molecule: long non-coding RNA, 1024 nt
Filed under: Parus major (Great Tit)
Lineage: Eukaryota; Metazoa; Chordata; Aves; Passeriformes; Paridae
Description: lncRNA (ENSPMJG00000009601.1)
Source: RNAcentral